CAUUAAAAUUAUUAGAAGUAGUUAAAUGCAAGAGUUAGUGAGAUUAAGGUUUCAAUGCUAGGGUUUAUGGACUAAAAUUUGGAGAAAUGCAUAAAUGGCAUGUUUAACCUAUUGUGACAUGAAAUAAUGAUCAAUUAGGACCAAAUAAAUUGGAUGGGAAUGGUGGAAAAAUUAGCUAAAUUCGUAGGUCAAUGGUCAUGCUGCUGGCAGCAUGACCAAACCCACUUUGAAGGACCAAAACUCAAAUUUUACAAGUCCAAUUGAUAUUCCACCAAUUGGAGAUGAAAAUAGACAUAAAAGAGCACAAUUUUCAUUAAGGAACCAUGACCAAAAACUGACCAAAACUUGGUGAAACAAUUGACCAAAGUGAAUUGAUUGCAGGCUGCCCUGCACCAAAACUGACCAAAUGAACAGUAACUGUUCAUUUGGUCAUAACUCGAGCUAGGUAGGUCAAAUUGACCUGAAAUUUUACCAGCAAUUAGAUAUGAUAUAGACCUAAAACUUUCAUGAAGAACACCAACCCAAAUUAGGCCAUUAACACAUUCAAAUCAUUGAGCAAAGUUAAAAUUACUGUACUGAAAUUCUGCAGAAUUUUCAUUGAGCAGCAAUGUUUGGAGGGCUAUAACUCUCUCUAGAAAACUCGGAUUUAGGCGAUUCUUGAACCGAUGGAAACCUAAGACAUAGUACAACAUUUCAUAUGAAGAAAGUGAGACCGAAUUAUGAACUUAACUUGAUCAAACAAUUGACCAAAGUUGGACCAAAAAUCUGCCAGCACCUAAAUUGCAGUAUGAACAGUGCACGUGAACAGUAAACUUAUUUUGGCCAUAACUUGAGCUACAAAACUCCGAUUGAGGUGAUCCAAAAAUGAGAAUACACUUAAGACAAUAAGGAACAUUUUCUAUGAAGGAAGUUUUGUCAAAUUCCAACAGUAGAUCGACCAAUGGAAUAGUGCAACUUCGGAAAACCAAAACCGAAAAUUGGCAAUUUUGCCAAAAUGACCUAAGCUUUAAACAAAUGACCAAAACCAACAAGUUUGGUGACCAAAAUGUGGUAUGUGGGUGAAGUUGGAGUUCCCAUACCCAUUAAGCCUUAGAAAGUCAAUAAUUUGACUUGAAUAGUGCAGUGAAUAGUAACCCGAAACACAAAAUUUCGAGAACGUCGAAUUUAACACGUUAGAGCUAGCUAAAUGUGAAGUUAAGUUUAUUUUGGAUUUAUUUUAAGUUCUAGUACUGAAACAUUGUAAAAUUGUGUGUUUCAGUUGAAAAGAAUAUCGGGAAGGAACCCGAGGAACCGAGUCGAGGCUAAAGGACGACUCGUUUGAGAUACAGAGAUUAGAGGAGCAGCAGACUGAGCUGCUGAGGUGUGUGAAGUCAUCAGCUUGAAGCCUUCGGGUAUAAUUUAUACCCUAACUGUAAAUACUUCUUUUGAUGUAUAUAUUGCACAUAAAUGUAUGGACAUGUAAAAAUGGGUCUUGAGCAGCUUGUACACAAAUUUGUAUGAAGUUUGUAAUAAAGUUUAGUUUGUGUUUCUUUUGAUAUAAAUUUGUAAGGUUAUGUAUAAAUUAUUUUGUUUUUAAUGAAAUAUGAAUGAUAUUGAUUGACAGUA
This is a long non-coding RNA of Hevea brasiliensis (rubber tree), 1605 nucleotides long. RefSeq lists it as uncharacterized. The transcript has 2 exons. The record is from RefSeq and is a predicted model, not a curated record. NCBI's taxonomy places the organism in Eukaryota, Viridiplantae, Streptophyta, Magnoliopsida, Malpighiales, Euphorbiaceae.